RNAcentral lists this long non-coding RNA (1310 nucleotides) under Chloebia gouldiae (Gouldian finch). Its description in RNAcentral is "Erythrura gouldiae (Gouldian finch) lncRNA (ENSEGOG00005018553.1)". The record is from RNAcentral. Lineage: Eukaryota; Metazoa; Chordata; Aves; Passeriformes; Passeridae.
GACCUCUAGAAUGUGUGCGGGGCCAUAUGGACUGGGAUCAACUAGGGACUGGGAUCAGCUGGGGGCUGGGAUCAACCAGAGAUUGGGAUUAAAUAUGGAAUUAGAUCUUAAGGACUGGGAUCAAAUGGAGACUGGGAUCAACUAUGGACUGGGAUCAACAAGGGACUGGGAUCAGAUAUGGACUGGGAUCAGAUAUGGACUGGGAUCAAAUGGAGACUGGAAUCAGAUAUGGACUGGGACAAAUUUGGGACUGGGAUCAGCUAUGGACUGGGAUCAACCAAGGACUGGGAUCCUACAGACUGGGAUCAAAUAGGGACUGGAAUCAGCUAUGGACUGGGAUCAACUCGAGAUUGGGAUCAACUUUGGACUGGGAUCAGCUCGGGACUGGGAUCCUGGGAACUGGGAUCAACUUCAGGCUGGGAUCCUACAGACUGGGACCCUGUGGGUUGGGACCGCACAGACCGGCACCAUAGGGACCGGGAUGGCUGCACCGGAACGAGGCGAACCGAGGCGGUCCCGCUCUGCCGGUCCCGCCCGGUCCCGGGGAUCCCUCCUGGUCCUUCCCAGUCCCUCCCAGUCCCGCCCAGUUCCCUCCCAGUCCUGCCCAGUCCCACCCAGUCCCGCGGCCAAAACUCCCCAGAGCGAUCUCGGAGGUCCCGGAGCAAUCCCGGAGCCAAUCCCGGUUCCGAAACCGAUCCCCGGUUCGAGUCUCGGUCCCGAUCACGGAUCCCAAUCCCGAUCUGGGUUCGAGUCUCGGUCUCGCUCUCGGUGUUGGUCUCGGUCUCGAUCCCGGAUCCCGAUCCCUAUCUCCGUUUCAGUCUUGGUUCUGGUGUCGGUCCCGAUCCAGGUCCCACUCCCGCUCUCUAUCCCGGAUCCCGAUCCCGAUCUCGGUUCAAGUCCCGGUUCUGAUCCCGGUUCGAGUCUCGGUCUCAGUCCUGAUCGCGGUUCGGUUUGGUCCGGUCCCGUCCGGUUUGGUUCAGUUCGGUUCAGUUUGGUCCGGUUCGGUCCGGUUCUGUUCGGUUUGGUUCGGUUCACGGUGCAGGGGAUGAAGAUCGCGAUCUUCGGAGCCACCAGCAGAACCGGGCGGGUCACGCUGGGGCUGGCGCUGGAGCAGGGUACGGGACUCCCCAAAAAUGGGAACGGGGACCCCAAAAUGGGAAUGAGAACCCCAAAAACGGGCACAGGGACCCCAAAUAUGGGCAUUGGGACCCAAAAUGGGCAUGGGGAACCCAAAAACAGGCACAGGAACCCAAAAAAUUGGCACAGGGGACCAAAAACUGGCAUGGGGACCCCAAAAUUUGGGGGAGUUU